CAGUUGCAGAUAGCCAGACCUAAAUUUGGAACACUAAGCAAUCAAUUCGUCAGGACGCUGUCUACCCAUUGCCCUUGGUGACCGUUGGACUCCAGGCCACACUGUGAGGGAUUUGGACUGUCUUUGUCAGUGAUGGAUGAGGAAUGAAUGACAAGACAGCUUGGUUGGUGUGGCAGUUGACGGCUCUCUGCUGCUCCACCUGGUCCUCCAGUUCAAAGAUGGUCUCCUUCAGCUCCUUCACCUGGUUCUCAGCCUGGAUCCCGACAUCCUCCAGAGAAGUCACCCGGCUGGUGAGCUCCUGCUCCCUCCUCUCAGCCCGCUCCUGAACCUGCUGGCAUUUGGCCUCCACCUAUUAGCUUGUUGGUGAGUGAAGUUAUGGAGUGGCCUCACCCUCACACCCAUGUGGCAGAGGACAGGAGCGUGACUCAGAGGGUCACACACCGAUGGACCACCCUACUGCUGGCACAGCAGUCGCAGUCCAACAAUGAUGACAUCACUAAGCUGUUGGAGACACGCCUCACUUUGGAGUCAACAUGACACCAAACCCACACUGCCUGAGCCUUUUUGGUGUUUGUGGUGUUGAAGGGGAAAACCAAAGUGACAACUGAGAAACAUAUGAAAACAAUUUGAGCGAACAUGAGUUCACGUGCAGUGCUGGUGAAGAAAAGUACCUCAAACCAGCUGUAAAUCCUGUUUGAACCAUUGUGGAAAGUGUGUCCUCAUGUUCACAUUCAAUACGUGACUGAGCACAGAACUAUUAAUAAUGUUACAGUUGCCCAUUUAAUUUACA
Molecule: long non-coding RNA, 790 nt
Organism: Scatophagus argus
Lineage: Eukaryota; Metazoa; Chordata; Actinopteri; Scatophagidae
Exons: 3
Source: RefSeq, a predicted model, not a curated record